Molecule: transfer RNA, 73 nt
Filed under: Diphylleia rotans
Lineage: Eukaryota; Collodictyonidae
Description: tRNA-Cys
Rfam family: tRNA
About the family: Transfer RNA (tRNA) molecules are approximately 80 nucleotides in length.
Source: RNAcentral
GGCUAAAUCGUAUAAUUGGCUAUUACAAAGAACUGCAAAUUCUUUAAUGAUGGUUCAAAUCCAUCUUUAGCCU